Gallus gallus (chicken) is the source of this 916-nucleotide long non-coding RNA. The record is from Ensembl. NCBI's taxonomy places the organism in Eukaryota, Metazoa, Chordata, Aves, Galliformes, Phasianidae.
CCUUGCCAUGCUUUUUUAUUAGAUCCCUGGAUAGAAACCUUGCGUGGGUCAUUCCGCGGUCAGUGCUCAUCUCCUUGUUGUUCCGAGGAAGGACAGGAGGAUUUCUGUAAGGAAUGGCACUAUUUAUAAAACAAAUAUAAAACCAGGCCUCCAUUUUGCACGAGUGACAAGUCAUGAGAACUCCAGCGGCUGUAUAUUUGUUGAACACCCGCCUCCUGGCUUCCAGCUUUGCUCCUCCCUGCUCCUAAAUCACAGCUUACUGCUAUUUUUACAACAGAAGAUUAAUGGAUGUGAACAAGCACAGAUAUCCGAGUAUCUCGCACACUCGCGGACAAGUAUUUUGAUUGUUCAGCCGUGGUUUUACAUUUAAUAGCCUUGCUACCUUCUCCCAGCAGCAACCGCGCUCCGCUCUCACAUGUGGAACAAUUUACAUUUCCCUUUUGCACUGCGGUGGAAGGCUCAGCUCAUGCUGUGAGCAGAGCAGUCUCGUGAGCUCCUUCCCAAGCCCAUUGGCAGCCCACAUUUGCUGCCACAAAUAUUGCACAACAGGAGCUGCCGCGUAGAAGGAGGACCAGGAUCCAGUAGCACUGCCUGCAAACAGGAUUUGCACCUGUUCCACAGAUACCCUGCAGCCCUGUGGCACCAAACAUUCAUUAACAACCAGUGCAAUUUUUGAGCGACUUGUAUUUACGUGUAAGGACAAGGACUCAUUAUCGUUGUCAUCUAUGUAUUGUUGUUUUACAUAACAGCUGCAGUAGAGCAAGUGCACUUUGGUCAAUAGUUUCAUUUAUUAUAAAGUAAUAAAUUAGGAAUAUUUUUCCCUCGACAAUAAGUUUUAUGCCAAGAUUUUAUGUAGCUUAAAGCAAGUUGUCAAUUAGGCUACUUAAAUUAAUUUUUGGCAGCAGUUAAUUGGAGC